Molecule: ribosomal RNA, 347 nt
Filed under: uncultured Pseudomonas sp.
Lineage: Bacteria; Pseudomonadati; Pseudomonadota; Gammaproteobacteria; Pseudomonadales; Pseudomonadaceae
Description: bacterial SSU rRNA
Rfam family: Bacterial small subunit ribosomal RNA
Source: RNAcentral
CAGGUGCUGCAUGGCUGUCGUCAGCUCGUGUCGUGAGGUGUUGGGUUAAGUCCGUAACGAGCGCAACCCUUGUCCUUAGUUACCAGCACGUUAUGGUGGGCACUCUAAGGAGACUGCCGGUGACAAACCGGAGGAAGGUGGGGAUGACGUCAAGUCAUCAUGGCCCUUACGGCCUGGGCUACACACGUGCUACAAUGGUCGGUACAAAGGGUUGCCAAGCCGCGAGGUGGAGCUAAUCCCAUAAAACCGAUCGUAGUCCGGAUCGCAGUCUGCAACUCGACUGCGUGAAGUCGGAAUCGCUAGUAAUCGUGAAUCAGAAUGUCACGGUGAAUACGUUCCCGGGCCUU